This is a long non-coding RNA of Gossypium raimondii (Peruvian cotton), 312 nucleotides long. RefSeq lists it as uncharacterized. The record is from RefSeq and is a predicted model, not a curated record. Lineage: Eukaryota; Viridiplantae; Streptophyta; Magnoliopsida; Malvales; Malvaceae. The transcript has 3 exons.
CCACCCAUCACCGAAUGUUGAAAGAAAAAGAAAGAGUUGAAGCUUUGUUAUAUUCGGCCUAGGUUGAGCUUGAUUGAGAUCAAGAAUUAAAGAAAUCAGACUUGGAUCGGGGGAAAAAUAAAGUCGUCGAUUAGUCGAUCUGUUCCGGUUUAUCGCUAUCCGAGAUUUUGAAAGCUAGUUACGGGCUCGGGGAUCGUCAGUGAAGUCAAUCACACUAUCGUCCGUUCAUCAGUAUUUAUAAAAGUUAAAUAUAAAAUCUAUGGCAUGUAUAGGCUAUACUACAUUUUGAAUAUAUAUAUAUAUAUAUAUAUA